UACAGAGGGUGCAAGCGUUAAUCGGAAUUACUGGGCGUAAAGCGUGCGUAGACGGUCAUGUAAGUCGGGUGUGAAAGCCCCGGGCUCAACCUGGGAAUUGCAUUCGAGACUGCAUGGCUAGGGUGCGGAAGAGGGAAGCGGAAUUUCCGGUGUAGCGGUGAAAUGCGCAGAUAUCGGAAGGAACACCAGUGGCGAAAGCGGCUUCCUGGUCCAGCACCGACGUUCAGGCACGAAAGCGUGGGGAGCAACAGG
Molecule: ribosomal RNA, 252 nt
Filed under: uncultured bacterium
Lineage: Bacteria
Description: partial 16S ribosomal RNA
Rfam family: Bacterial small subunit ribosomal RNA
Source: RNAcentral